This 2254-nucleotide long non-coding RNA is filed under the name Nicotiana benthamiana. Its description in RNAcentral is "long non-coding RNA (NBEN_LNC010542)". Lineage: Eukaryota; Viridiplantae; Streptophyta; Magnoliopsida; Solanales; Solanaceae. The record is from RNAcentral.
CCACCCUCUUCACCCCCACAGUACCCCCUUCACACCCCAAACACAAAUAUACAAGCCUCGUUCCUCGAAUCAAACUGAGUCUUCUCGAAUCUUUAUUUGAAGAUUUGAGCUAAAACUCGAUUUACACCAAACCAUCCCAAACUCAUACCUAGCACUCUCCUGAUCUUCCUUAGGCCUAAACCAACUUUGGUUUGGUUCAAAUCUACCCAGAAAACCUCUAAAACACCCGUAUGAACCCUAGAAAUCCAAAAUGGGGGUUUCUGUCUAAUUCGAUGAGAGAUUAAGGUCUAUUCGACCAAGAACAUCCUGAUUAAGGUCCAUUCGACCUAAAGUCGUCGAAUCCGGUCGAGUCCAGUUCGUUUGUGCAUGAGCUUAAAGAUAAGUGUUCCUUCUUUUUUCUAUUUUUUUCUCAUUCGUAUUAUGUGUUGCAUUUGUUUGCUUGUUAAGUUUACUGGCAUGAUUUUUUUUCCUUCUUUUUCUGUUCAUCUCCGUAAAGACCUUUAUUUGGUCAUUUGUUCUGUUUGUUUGUUAUUGUUGUGAGUUUCGUGUUCCAAUUUGUUAGAUAGUUUAGUUCAUUUUAGUCCUUUGUUGAAACCACCUAAAAAUCCAGAACCUAACAGUUACACCUUGUUGUUAAUUGAUUAAUUGCUAUUCAGUAUAGUUCAUUUAGUCGAUUAAAUGAAGGUCGUCAUUUGAAUUCACUGAAAAGAAUUAGAAGAAGCAUGAUUGUUCAUCUUUGCUUAAUUACCAGUGUGCCUCGUCUUGCAUCAAUAUGCCUUUAUUCAGUGUUGUUCUACUUAGCCUAUAAUAUAUUAGCUUGUAAUUGGUUUGGAGCUUGGUCAGGUUUGGUUUACCAAACUGACCAACUCACUCCACCAAACUUUUGCACCUUUCUGCCUUAAUUGUUUGAAUUUAGGAAAUUGAAUUGAUUAUAGCUGCUUAAUCAGAAUUUAAUCUUGUUGAUUAGUCUUGAACAUAUUUUAGAAUUUGUCCUGUGGUUUAGGGCAGUAAUAUCAGGGGAAUUACAGGGGUAAUUUGGGGAGUUCAAAGUUAAAAAAUGGUUUGGCUGAGUAUUCUGUCCAGUAGGCCCCAAUAUGUUCUAAUUUGAACUAAUUGAUAGGGGGACCACUAAGGAAUGAAAGAUGUUUUUUGCUUAUUGGAAAUUAGCAACGGUAGGUAAUAAUAAAAGGCUAAAAUAUACAGAUAGUUAGAAGAAUAUAGAGCCAGAAAGUAAGAAAUAAGUAGAGGGUAAUAAUAUAUGGGCAAUGGUAAAAGUAAAGAAAAGGGGGCUGAAAAGGGUCUACCUUUUGUAUAAAAAAGGGGUCAUUUGGGACUAGAGGGGGGGUGGGGAAUUUAUUGAACAUAAAAAGUCGAGUUUAAUAGUGAAUUGAAGCUCAAAUUUUGAAUACAAAUUUUUUUUUUAGAUUUUUGAGUUGAAAAAGAGAGCUGGUUGUGAGUCAUCAGUUUUUGUGUGUUCAGUCUAGAGGGUCUAAGAGCUAGAUAGUUUGUUGUUCUUUUAUGACUGGAAAUCAGAAAAGAGUGAAGUUCGUGAGAGUCUUUCUUCUUUAAGAGUUUAAAGAACAUACUUUUUCAUUGCAUCUCUUGGCCGAGCUUGUCUUACUUGUUAUUUGUUGUUGGUAUUUCUGAGUAUCAAUUGGUUUUCUUAAGUUAUUCCUAGGUUGUAUUCUGCAUCUUCUGGUGUGGCAUUGGUUUUUGCUUAAGCUACUGGUCACAUCACUGCUGCUUUGUUGUGCUACUACUGUUAUACUGUUGCUGCUGAUCUUCCAUUUCUCCCGUUGUAAACACUUCCAGGUACACAGCUUGAUCUCGGCACUUGCAUGCUGAAAUGUGAAAGAAGAUUCAAAGAAAAUAUUUGAAGCAUGAGAUUUGAGUGUUUCCAAUUCCUGAAUUAUGUAUUCAGUGCUUCGUUUAUGGAGGUGGUUUAAGUCCCUGCUUGUUUUGUAUUAGAUGGACUUUUUUUUAGGAUUCUGAUUCAAUGAGUUUGUUUCUCAAGUAUAAUUUAGCUCUUUAGUUGUUGCAACUAAUUUGGUGUUAGUAAUCCGUGUUAAGUCAUUGUCAGUCUCAUGAUAGAUUCUUCCGUAAGUCUGUUUUAAAAUGAUGCGUAUUGAUGUGAAAACAUCAAGUUCAAAAGUAAAUGGUUGAUUGAGUUUUCAUAUUAGUCGGAAAACAAUCUGGGCGUUAUCGUUUAAUUAGGAUAUUAGGAUGGAAUUUGAAUUCUAGUAAUCUUAUUCAC